This 406-nucleotide ribosomal RNA is filed under the name uncultured bacterium. Its description in RNAcentral is "partial 16S ribosomal RNA". It matches the Rfam family "Bacterial small subunit ribosomal RNA", at positions 29 to 526 of the family's 1533-position model. The record is from RNAcentral.
AUUGAACGCUGGCGGCAGGCUUAACACAUGCAAGUCGAGCGAGCGGCGGACGGGUGAGUAAUGUCUGGGAAACUGCCUGAUGGAGGGGGAUAACUCCUGGAAACGGUAGCUAAUACCGCAUACCAUCAGAUGUGCCAAGAGGUGAGUAGCUAGUAGGUGGGGUAAUGGCUCACCUAGGCGACGAUCCCUAGCUGGUCGGAGAGGAUGACCAGCCACACGGGAACUGAGACACGGUCCAGACUCCGACGGGAGGCAGCAGUGGGGAAGAGUGCACAAUGGGCGCAAGCCUGAUGCAGCCAUGCCGCGUGUGUGAAGAAGGCCUUCGGGUUGUAAAGCACUUUCAGCGAGGAGGCGUUACUCGCAGAAGAAGCACCGGCUAACUCCGUGCCAGCAGCCGCGGUAAUAC